CACGUAGGCGGAUUGUUAAGUCGGGGGUGAAAUCCUGGGGCUCAACUCCAGAACUGCCUUCGAUACUGGCGAUCUCGAGUUCGGGAGAGGUGAGUGGAACUGCGAGUGUAGAGGUGAAAUUCGUAGAUAUUCGCAAGAACACCAGUGGCGAAGGCGGCUCACUGGCCCGAUACUGACGCUGAGGUGCGAAAGCGUGGGAGCAAACA
This 206-nucleotide ribosomal RNA is filed under the name uncultured bacterium. RNAcentral describes it as "partial 16S ribosomal RNA". It matches the Rfam family "Bacterial small subunit ribosomal RNA", at positions 568 to 774 of the family's 1533-position model. The record is from RNAcentral.